RNAcentral lists this ribosomal RNA (253 nucleotides) under uncultured bacterium. RNAcentral's name for it is "partial 16S ribosomal RNA". It matches the Rfam family "Bacterial small subunit ribosomal RNA", at positions 524 to 776 of the family's 1533-position model. The record is from RNAcentral.
UACGGGGGGAGCAAGCGUUGUUCGGAUUUACUGGGCGUAAAGGGCGCGUAGGCGGCGUGACAAGUCACUUGUGAAAUCUCCGGGCUUAACCCGGAGCGGCCAAGUGAUACUGUCGUGCUAGAGUGCGGAAGGGGCUACUGGAAUUCUCGGUGUAGCGGUGAAAUGCGUAGAUAUCAGGAAGAACACCUAUGGCGAAGGCAGCUCUCUGGGACGGUACUGACGCUGAGACGCGAAAGCGUGGGGAGCGAACAGG